AGAGUUUGAUCAUGGCUCAGAACGAACGCUGGCGGCAGGCUUAACACAUGCAAGUCGAGCGCACUCUUCGGGGUGAGCGGCGGACGGGUUAGUAACGCGUGGGAACGUGCCCUUCACUGCGGAAUAGCAUUGGGAAACCGGUGGUAAUACCGCAUACGCCCUAUGGGGGAAAGAUUGAUCGGUGAGGGAUCGGCCCGCGUCUGAUUAGGUAGUUGGUGGGGUAAAGGCCUACCAAGCCUACGAUCGGUAGCUGGUUUGAGAGGAUGAUCAGCAACACUGGGACUGAGACACGGCCCAGACUCCUACGGGAGGCAGCAGUGGGGAAUCUUAGACAAUGGGCGCAAGCCUGAUCUAGCCAUGCCGCGUGGGUGAAGAAGGCCUUAGGGUCGUAAAGCCCUUUCGCUGGGGAAGAUAAUGACGGUACCCAGUAAAGAAACCCCGGCUAACUCCGUGCCAGCCGCCGCGGUAAUUC
RNAcentral lists this ribosomal RNA (472 nucleotides) under uncultured bacterium. RNAcentral describes it as "bacterial SSU rRNA". It matches the Rfam family "Bacterial small subunit ribosomal RNA", at positions 8 to 526 of the family's 1533-position model. The record is from RNAcentral.